Molecule: small nucleolar RNA, 107 nt
Organism: Arabis alpina (gray rockcress)
Lineage: Eukaryota; Viridiplantae; Streptophyta; Magnoliopsida; Brassicales; Brassicaceae
Rfam family: Plant small nucleolar RNA R71
About the family: R71 is a member of the C/D box family of snoRNAs containing the C (UGAUGA) and D (CUGA) box motifs.
Source: Rfam
AAUCCGUGAUGAGGGCAAUCUCUUAGGUACUCCUUAAAGCAUUCCCAAGCAUCAUGGAAACUCUAUAAAGGUCCUUGUUGGAAUCCUUGUAUAUUUUUCCUUAAAAG